CAGUUCUCAACUGCCUGUAACUCC
Molecule: non-coding RNA, 24 nt
Filed under: Cricetulus griseus (Chinese hamster)
Lineage: Eukaryota; Metazoa; Chordata; Mammalia; Rodentia; Cricetidae
Source: RNAcentral